Non-coding RNA from Ornithorhynchus anatinus (platypus), 72 nucleotides. Lineage: Eukaryota; Metazoa; Chordata; Mammalia; Monotremata; Ornithorhynchidae. The record is from Rfam.
AGCAGUGUGGCUUAGUGGCAAGAGCACAGGCUUGGGAGUCAGAGGACGUGGGUUCUAAUCUCUCCUCUGCCA